GCCAUAUGUAAGGAUAAUAUCUUCAAGGACAAGUGCAAAUAGUCUACUGGCACAUAUGUGGGGACAGUGACCCUGAGAUUCCUCUCCAACCAUCCAGGCGACUGAUCAAGUUAUUUGAGUAAGCAAGGAAGACUGAUUAGAACCAAGAGCAUCCUGAAAGAGAUUGAGAAAGCAAGUAUUGAUUGUUUUUUCUUUAGCACUCCGUGGGGGCGGGGUUAAAUAUUUAGUAUGGAACAGCAUCUAGCUUCCCAUUCUAAAACCUAACACGUGUUACAACCUCAUGGUAAAUUUCUCCCGUGCCAAAGUCCAAAACCAGCUCAUAAGAUCUCUUUCCAGAGUGAGGACACUGAAGUGGUAAGAGUCAAUCAUCAAGGGACUGUGCAGAUAUCUCCAAUAGGACCAAAUAAAUCUGUGGAUGGAAUAUGUGGCGCUGAGUCCAACUAAUGUACUGUAUUGUUGAGAGCAGAAAUGAGUUAACAUUCGUUGGGCAAACGUAGAGUUGGCAGUUUGAAUCCUGAUUCUUCAAGUGGGAAUGUGUAUGUGUCAUUUUUUUUGAACCUCGUAUCUUUGCCUUUCUUUAUGUGGUAAAUGGUCUACGGCAGUUGAUUGUGUAUACUUUGCUCUUACAAAACCACAUCGCUGCAUUGUCAGUAAUAGUAAUAAUAAUUUGACUUAGAUCUCAUUAACAGAAUAAAGUCUCAUGAACUUCAGGUUUGUUGAUGUUUU
Long non-coding RNA from Hippocampus comes (tiger tail seahorse), 726 nucleotides. RefSeq lists it as uncharacterized. The transcript has 2 exons. The record is from RefSeq and is a predicted model, not a curated record. NCBI's taxonomy places the organism in Eukaryota, Metazoa, Chordata, Actinopteri, Syngnathiformes, Syngnathidae.